UAAAUAAAUAAAUAAAAAAGCCAUACCAAAAAAUUAUUUUCAAACGAGCCCUUACUAGCAAUGCUAGGUAUCAUGAAAAAUAUUUCAGGAAAAUGAUCAAGAAAUAUUUUUAACCUUUAGAUUAGAUAUACAAUAAGUUACAAAGUGUAAUACAAGGAUGGAGAUUUGUUCAUAAUCAUUUUCAUGAAGCAUUUUUCAUGAUGCCUAGCAUUUUCCUACAAGUUAACAGGUUGCAUUUCACAGUGCAGAGGUGGCCAUGAAGAGGAGACACAUGCCCUACUUGCUAUCUCUGCUAAUGAAACACAUAACAAGCCGCGAAGCCAUCCGACAAAUCCACGCUCAAUUGAUCUUCAAUGGCAUUCACUCUACUGGAACGUCUAUGACAAUAUGGAAUUACCUAUUCCGACACUACUCUCUCGGUUCCUCCCCCAAAGAAGCUGUCCUACUCUUCAAGAACCUCCAACUUCUACACCUACCCAUCAUCUCCUUCGACAACUAUUCCUACUCUUUUCUCAUCAAGGCUUGCACCAAUUUGGAACAACCCACUUUGGGUACUCAGGUCCAUGGCCUCACUGUCAAAGCCGGCUUUGAGCAUCACAUCUAUGUGCAAACUGCUCUGGUCAACAUGUAUUCGGUUUGUGGGUGUUUAGUUGAAGCACAACAAGUGUUUGAUGAAAUGCCUGAGAGGAACUCAGUCACCUCGAAUGCCUUGAUCACUGGUUCAACUAAAUGGGGGCAGAUUGGCCUUGCCCGUUCUCUCUUUGACCGGAUGCCAUCUCAAAAUGUUGUUUCGUGGGCUGAUAUCAUUGACGGGUACUCGCAGUUGAACUAACACAAGCAAGCUUUGGCCUUGUUUCGGACAAUGGUUGUGGACAAGGCUAUUAAACCAACUGAAGUAACAAUCCUAGCAAUUUUUCCGUCCACACGGAAUCUUCGGUGUCUCGAGUCUUGCCAAUUAAUUCAUACUUAUGGAGAGAAAAGUGGGUUUAAUGAGUGACAUUCGAGUUACCAAUUCCCUUAUAGAUGCGUAUGCAAAGUGUGGGUGCAUUGAGAGUGCAGUAAAAGUCUUCCAUGGCAUAACUUGUGAAAAGAGGAAUUUGGUGUCGUGGACAUCUAUAAUCUCUGGAUUUGCAAUGCAUGGAAUGGGGAAACAUGCAGCAGAUAGUUUUAAAAGAAUGGAAGAUGAGUGUUUGAUGCCAAAUCGCGUAACGUUCUUGAGUAUUUUAAAUGCUUGCAGUCAUGGAGGAUUGGUUGAAGAGGGGCUUGAGUUUUUUUAGAAAGAUGCUUAGUGAGUGUCAAGUUGUACCCGAAAUUAAGCAUUAUGGGUGCUUAAUAGAUAUGUUGGGGAGGGAAGGUAGUUAGAGGAAGCUGAGAUGAUAGCUUUGCAGAUUCCUACUGAGAUUGCUAAUGUUGUGAUUUGGAGGACAUUGCUAGGAGCCUGUAGCUUCCAUGGUAAUAUUCAGAUUGCAGAGCGAGUUAUGAGGACGAUACUAGAGAUGGAGAGAAGAUAUGGUGGUGAUUAUGUGCUUUUGUCCAAUAUAUAUGCUGGUUUUUGUAGGUUUGUAGAUGCCGAGGGGGUGAGGAGACUGAUGGGUGAAAGUAAUGCAUCUAAAGUUCCCGGAAGAAAAAAGAAAAAAAAAAUCAUCAAUGUCGGGGCAUUGACUUUGUGGGAAUGGUAGUUUAUAAAUCUUUUAUUGUGGAAAUCCCUGUGCCACAAAUCUUUUGGUUUUCAGUCUCUUGAUCAGAGUCUAGGACAGGUGAUUAUUGGAGUCAAUUAUACACCAAACCUUCAAUCUUGUGCAAGAUUUUUACAUGGGAAAUACCCCAAGAAGAUCUUUUGGUAACUGGCUCUUCUUUUUAUUAUUUAAUUUGGUUUUUACUUUAUUUCUGUUAUUUAAUUAUUAUAUAGUAGAGUGUAAAUAACGUGCUUUUAGUUUAUGAUGGUCUACUAAAUUGGCAAGGUUUAGCCCUGUUCAAAUGGCAACUACCUUUCUUCAUUUCUCCUAUGUCUUUUUUUGUUGGUAGUCUCUUUAUGCCACUUUUGGUUUGUCUUACAGUUAUAAGUAGUUCCUUGACAUGGAAAAUUGGAGAUUUCUUCCAAAGACAAAGGAUGUGAUGCUCACAAGCAUUUCAUUUAAGCAGACUAUGAUUUAAAGAGACCCUGGAUGCAAGAAUAUUUAGAUGGUUCUAAAAGGGAUCAGAACCAAGAAACCAAUGAUAUGGAAAAUGCUGAAUUUGACAGUCACUUUCAACCUUGUUGGUUAAGCAGAAGCCAAAGCAACUUCCAUCUACAAUAUAAAAUGAUCAGAAACCCACAUUUUUUUUACUAUGCAAGUCAUUUGUAGUAUGAGUAGCUGUAGUUUUUAUAUGUUCGCCAAUAGGUUGAGUUUUGUAAUUGAUUUUCAGGGUGAUCUGUAGGAUUGUAGUGUGACAUGGGUUUUCUCUUUGUAACAUUGUUGUUCUGAUCAAUUCAAGUGGUGUUCACUUCAUUGUGAUUGAAAAGCAAUAAGAUCUUCCUCUCGUGAUGUAAAUAUUGUACAUGAAAGAUGAAUUAUUUAAAUGGCUAAGCUCACAUAGGGAGAAGUGUGAAAUAGUGUUAAUUCCUUUUCUUGCUGUUUGUCAAUUGCGAUUUAGGCAUCUUUGAAGACUAAAACUUGGAUUGGAUUGUAUGUCCAUAAUACCACAUUCGGUUUUCUACAACAAUAAGUGGAUGAAUUUCAUUUUGCAA
Molecule: non-coding RNA, 2728 nt
Organism: Camellia sinensis
Lineage: Eukaryota; Viridiplantae; Streptophyta; Magnoliopsida; Ericales; Theaceae
Source: RefSeq, a predicted model, not a curated record